Molecule: non-coding RNA, 108 nt
Organism: Acanthosepion pharaonis
Lineage: Eukaryota; Metazoa; Mollusca; Cephalopoda; Sepiida; Sepiidae
Source: the annotation of a GenBank genome assembly
UCAUGUCGCGUUGAAACACUGGUUCGCAUACGGCCACCGAAGUUAAGCAACUUCGAGUCUGGUAAGUACCGAAAUGGUUGACCGCGUGCGAAAAUCCGUUGCUGUAAG